ACUGCGCAAAGCUAACGAUAAGCUAGCCGGCGUCGCAGCCCCUCGACGGGCCAUGGUCUCCUCGGUUAGGGAGAACGCUGGUAUAACGGGGCGGCAAGUCGGGUACGAGCCGCCCUGAGGAACACCGCCUCUGACACCCAGGAGUGCCAGCCAAAUCCAGCAGGGUUGAGGGGUUCAGCGCCUUCAUGUCACUCAAAACCAUCAGAUCGCCGCAGAGAUCUCUGGGAGUUGCUAUGCAAAUUAGAUUUUGACGGCGCCAGGCCGGAGCCUGCCUGAGGCGGAUUCAGCAGCUGAAGCAGCUUCAGAGGAGGGGGAAGGCGGGAAACGAGUGAGGGAGGCACCAGAGAAUGGGGGUGGGGCGGAGAAAAUGGCGGCGGCCGGGAACUGGGAGCAGCCGCUUCCUGGCUUGUCAGCCCGCGGGACAGCGGAGCUGGGGCAAGGGCGGCGCGCCUGUGCGAGUCUGAGGGAACGGCCUCUCUUCCGUCCGACUGGGAGACAAGCCGCUGAGGGGCGCCCCCCGUCCGCUCCCCGGGGCGCGGGACAAGCCGCUGAGGGGCGCCCCCCGUCCGCUCCCCGGGGCGCGGGACAAGCCGCUGAGGGGCGCCCCCCGAUCCGCUCCCCGGGGCGCGGGACAAGCCGCUGAGGGGCGCCCCCCGAUCCGUUACCCGGGGUCUCUCAACCCUUCUGCGCGGGGAGCGUCCCAAGUGGUAGCUCUGCUCCACUGCGGCGCGGCGGAAGACCCGAGGGCUCGGAGUCGUAUCCCCCGCUCCGCGGCGAGUACCUCGGGGUGACGUUCACACCCGGAGCUCGCAGCCUCCGCCACAGUGCCCUGGGGGUCCUGCACUGAGAAACUGUCCCUUAACCCCACUCACGGCAGGGCUCCUUAGGAGCCCGGUGUACCUGCGAGAGGGGCCAAAAACUGAAUUCUCAAUUCCUGGUUGAACAAACAGCCCAGUCGCCUCUAAGGUGCCACAAGUUUUCCUUUUCUUUUUACGGCUCUUCAGCAGCCCGCCCCGGUAACCGGCAGUGCUUAUAUAUAAUAACCGGCUAAUUAUUACCAAUUACAGAAAAAGACACUCCAAGCUUGUCAGUUAAAACAAGACGUCACUGACCACUAGCUGCAUUCAAAACCUAUUAAUAAGGCCAACAAUAAACAAAAACGAAGUCUGACUUUACAACCACAAUAUCAGUCUCACAUGAGACUGUCAAAAAUUGCCAAUGCCGACUAUAUUUCAAGUCGUCAUGGCGGGGUAUUGGGAAAAGUUUUCAACUAGCAAUAAUCACGCCUCGGAUUAACCUCAUUGGCUAUGAUACUGCCACUGCGCAAAGCUAAAGAAAACUCCCCAGUCUUACAAACCACUAAAAUCUGAUCACUCUUCAGGUUAAAGGGAGUUUUCAUUAGACCUCAAAAUGCCCUGAAAACUUUCCUCCUUCAGGUCAAUGUAAACCUACCUCUGUUGUAAUUAAGCAAUAAGAUAUUUACACAGA
This is a long non-coding RNA of Chelonia mydas (Green sea turtle), 1488 nucleotides long. RefSeq lists it as uncharacterized. The record is from RefSeq and is a predicted model, not a curated record. Lineage: Eukaryota; Metazoa; Chordata; Testudines; Cheloniidae. The transcript has 2 exons.